UCUUCUGUUUGCAGAAAUAAGCAUAUAACGAACACAGUAACCAUCGACUUGCAUGGCCAACAUGUCCAACAUGCUAUGAACCUUCUCAAAAUUCACAUGAUGAUUUGUAUUUGCAUUCCAUCUGUCUUACUCAGGGUAAUUACCGGUUGUGGUUCAGAAGGUACAGGGAAGGGAAAAAUAAAGCGCUCGGUUAUAGAGCUUGCGGAGAAGGAACAUAUUGAGUGGCGCGAAGAGAACUCUGGAACUGUAGCCCUUCGACUUGGUGGGCCAAGAGAGUAUCGGUUCCUUGAGCAUGAAAGCGAUUCUGACCAAGUGGGGAACUUUAACAUAGAUUAACUUUUGAUCUAAUCUAUGUAUUCCCGUAUUGAUGUGUUAUAGCUAUGGAUGCUGCCUAGGUUGCGGUGUAGGCUGUAGUUCUGACACAGAAGCUCGGUAUUGUAGUUGUGUAAAUUAUGGUGUGAUGUUGACCCCAGGCUGCUAACUGUGCAAUCACAGAAGCUCUGACUGUACAACCGUAGCCCUUCUGUGAACAAUGCAACACAGGAACCGUAAUCGUGAGUUGAAGAAUAUCAUACUAUGGCCGAUUGUCACGGGAACCAAUUUUGGCCUGUACCAACUGGAACUUACGAUUUGUAUGAAAAUAUAUUUAACACUUAGUCCACAAAUAUUACUUAUCA
Long non-coding RNA from Zea mays, 677 nucleotides. RefSeq lists it as uncharacterized. The transcript is spliced from 3 exons. Lineage: Eukaryota; Viridiplantae; Streptophyta; Magnoliopsida; Poales; Poaceae. The record is from RefSeq and is a predicted model, not a curated record.